GCGACGGUAGCUCAGUUGGUUAGAGCACCUGGUUGUGGUCCAGGGGGUCGGGGGUUCGAAUCCCCUCCGUCGCC
This 74-nucleotide transfer RNA is filed under the name Chloroflexota bacterium. Its description in RNAcentral is "tRNA-His". It matches the Rfam family "tRNA". Rfam says of the family: Transfer RNA (tRNA) molecules are approximately 80 nucleotides in length. Their secondary structure includes four short double-helical elements and three loops (D, anti-codon, and T loops). Further hydrogen bonds mediate the characteristic L-shaped molecular structure. tRNAs have two regions of fundamental functional importance: the anti-codon, which is responsible for specific mRNA codon recognition, and the 3' end, to which the tRNAs corresponding amino acid is attached (by aminoacyl-tRNA synthetases). tRNAs cope with the degeneracy of the genetic code in two manners: having more than one tRNA (with a specific anti-codon) for a particular amino acid; and 'wobble' base-pairing, i.e. permitting non-standard base-pairing at the 3rd anti-codon position. Lineage: Bacteria; Bacillati; Chloroflexota. RNAcentral also lists the same sequence under 3 other names. The record is from RNAcentral.